This is a long non-coding RNA of Oryzias latipes (Japanese medaka), 2996 nucleotides long. RefSeq lists it as uncharacterized. The record is from RefSeq and is a predicted model, not a curated record. Lineage: Eukaryota; Metazoa; Chordata; Actinopteri; Beloniformes; Adrianichthyidae.
GCUCGGUAAUGUGCUGGCUGGAGGAGGGACACAGCCGCACGCUGGAGUAGGGGGUAGGGGUGGAUGAGCAGGGCUGGGCGGGACCAUAAACAGCCACAGCGAGAGCAGCAUCUCCACUCCGCCGGCCUGUCACCCGAUCACUGCACAGGACCCGAUCACAAGCCCAAAAGUGAUGGAAGGGUUGGCCAAAGUGAAGGCAUGGACUCCAAGGACAAAGCUUGCACUCUAUUUGAAAACUAGUGUCGACUAAUAUUGGUUUUUGACAUAAUUUAGGAGCUGGGGGAUAAAAGGAGUACAAAGUUCAAACUCUUGGAGACCAGACAGGAGACGCACAAAGAGUGAGAAGCUGCAAAAUCGAGGAAAGUUGGUCGCGGUUGGGAGCGCACGUCAGACCCACAUUUGAAGUCUGAUGUGGCCGCUCCGGACGCCACUGCCCAAUCAAGCAUGGAGCAUGAUCUGAGGAUGGGUCUGUCUUUUUGGACCAUUGCGGCCAUUGUUUGCAACUCAGCAGUCGGCGUCCUCAUCGUCAUUCUGUUUGUGAUCCUCUACAAAGCCUGCAAGGUGCCUUCCCACCAAGAUAAAGUGCCAGUUUUUGUUCCAAGGCUGGAUCAGAAGAAGGCUGAACAGAAGUACAUGCUGGCUGCAGCUUGAUUAAGAAAUGAUAAAUUAUGUUUUGGCAAAAUCCAACUUAAUCUACUGAGAUUGAAGAAUUUGGAGGGAAAGCUGAGUGAGCACCUGCUUAGAAUAGCUGUUAUUAUGUUAACACCUGUGCAGUACUUGAGGGAGUUCUGAGAAAGACAGCACAAAAAGAUCAAAACAUAAAAAAAUGAGGAAGACAUAUAUAUACGUGACAACACAGAGGCACACAACACUUGACAAACCAGUAAACUAAGAGCAUCGAGAUUUGUAGCAAGACUAACUACAACAGCCAUGCCCAAUCCUCUUAUCUCUGCUGUGCGUCGCUGGGACUGUCCAUCUGUCAGUCUCUUCCACUGCUCCACACUUUUUCAUCCCUCCAUGUUUGACAGCUGGCUCCUUAUGAGGGAGAAACAACAAAGAGUUUAAGUAAGUGGAAUACAGAAGUCCUAGCGGGUAGAGCUUUCGUUUAGUCACUACUAAAUGAGGAAAAAUUCAUAUAUUAUUUCAAAGCUGAUGAACAGUAAACUUUAUUUUCUGCUACCAGAUUCCACUAAGUACAGCAAGUACACAGCAGGACAUCCAGCAGGCUAAGAGAAGCAGGAGUCCAAAGGAAGACAGAUGGAAAUAAAGUCACAUUUUUUAUUAAAUUAAAUUAAUCAAGUGCAAAGAAAAGAAAUAGAGGAGAAAUUUGCUCUGUUUUACAGUUUUUUCUAUACAAAAGGGAACACCCGUUCAACUCCAAACACAUUUAAAAGUAAAAAAAAUACAUACAAAACCCAAUUUUUUUGUGUGCCUCUGUCUUAUGAGUUCACCUUAAAUGAAGGCCGAACUAGGUAUCUAUUCUAUCUGUCUUCAUAUUUCCAAGUGCAUUUAGUGUUUUUUGUAGGGAAAUUUCUGCUGUAUUUACAAAAAAGGCAAAACAUGUAGUGAAAUAUGACUUUGCUAUGUGAGCCAGAAGUUAAUUUGUAAACCAUAAAGGGCAAUGUCUUUGUGUUUUCACCAAAGAAACAUAUCUGUAGAAGUUUUACUUUGGUAUCACAUCCUGUCUGUUCACCACUUUAUCUGUGGAGCAGCUACAGCUUUCUGCCUAAGCCCUGGUUGUAUAAAAAAAGUUCCACAGUUUGAACGUGGGACUUUCGUCUGUCAUAAUUUAGCUGAAUUAGAGAAAUCCAACAGACCAAAUAGCAACUUUUUUUCCGGCAGUCCUUUAUCUGCAUUGUUGUUCUGCUUGGUCUUGACUCUGUUCUGUAAAGUCAGGCAAUAAACUCUUUACCAGACAUGUUGCCCUUUCUGUGUGUGCAUCAUCGUAUGUUGAGCUAAUCAAUACUGAACACACUGACUGCUGCUGUGACCCACUUCCUGUUUGUUAAUCUACCACAAGCGCUGUAAUCCUUAUCUUGUAACUAGAUUCCAACAUGGGUAUAUGCUGUAACGGUCGUAGUGUAAUCUUUCCAGGCCAGUGCUUACACUCUAUCCAUAUCAAAUGGUAACUUUUUGUGGUAAAAGGCAGUUCUGCAUUUCUUUUUAUUUGAAAUGUUGAAAUAAAUUAAAAAACAGAAGUGCAGCAUAACUAGAAUUAGAACCAUGUCUUUACACUUGUUGGUGGAAUAUUUAUAUCUAGCCAUUGGGUUGUCUUGAUUCAAUGGCUGACUUGUCUUUCAGUUAAAGCUACCUUGAACUAAAUGACUAAUAACUUUCUAUUCAAUGAGAUUUGCUUUCCUAGUUCAUGAAUAAAUAAGAUACUGGUGUGAGUAUAAAACUAUACGAAGCAUAAAUAUUAUUAAUUUCUCUGAAUAUAUUACAUGAGUUAUCCAAUUCUAACUGAUUCAGAUCAAUAAUGUUUCUGGUUUAAACAGGAACUUGAUUUUUCGUAUUUACCACAUUUCUCUCCUGCCAUUAAGCUAAACUGAAAAAACUGAGAUUUUCACGUCUUUAGUCACAAGUAUAACAGGAUUUUGUGUUUAUGGGAUUAAAUUUGUGUUAGAAAAAGGUCAAAUAAAAGUGUCUUGACUUUAUGGCAAGGGUGGAAAGACACAAAAUCCUUUUCUUUCUUUUUUUUAAAGUGAGUUCUUAAAUGCAUAUUUUAAAGUGCAGCAAAAAAAGUGGAUUACUGGACCAUGUCUUGAGUUUUAAAAAUUUUUCAUUAGGACAACAAAGUUUUCUAAAAAAACGUUUUCUUUUUUUUACUGCAGUUACCAAAACCAACCCAGCUUCUUGGGCCUGCAGUUUUCUCCAUACCAAUUUAGGGCAGAAACAGAAAAUCGUGAUAUAAAUCUUUGUUUGUGAAGACAGGUCUGCUCGGAAUUGAAGAAAUUCUUUAUUGACUCAGUUUGUCAAUAAACAACGUUACUUUUAAA